CCUACGGGAGGCAGCAGUGGGGAAUUUUGGACAAUGGACGCAAGCCUGAUCCAGCCAUUCCGCGUGCAGGACGAAGGCCUUCGGGUUGUAAACUGCUUUUGUACAGAACGAAAAGGUCUCUAUUAAUACUAGGGGCUCAUGACGGUACUGUAAGAAUAAGCACCGGCUAACUACGUGCCAGCAGCCGCGGUAAUACGUAGGGUGCAAGCGUUAAUCGGAAUUACUGGGCGUAAAGCGUGCGCAGGCGGUUAUAUAAGACAGAUGUGAAAUCCCCGGGCUCAACCUGGGAACUGCAUUUGUGACUGUAUAGCUGGAGUGCGGCAGAGGGGGAUGGAAUUCCGCGUGUAGCAGUGAAAUGCGUAGAUAUGCGGAGGAACACCGAUGGCGAAGGCAAUCCCCUGGGCCUGCACUGACGCUCAUGCACGAAAGCGUGGGGAGCAAACAGGAUUAGAUACCCUGGUAGUCCACGCCCUAAACGAUGUCAACUGGUUGUUGGGUCUUCACUGACUCAGUAACGAAGCUAACGCGUGAAGUUGACCGCCUGGGGGAGGACGGCCGCGAGUAGUAACGUACGAAGUAGAGUAGACGGCGUUGAGACGNGCGACGGACGACGACGAGGGAGGAGG
Molecule: ribosomal RNA, 626 nt
Filed under: uncultured bacterium
Lineage: Bacteria
Description: bacterial SSU rRNA
Rfam family: Bacterial small subunit ribosomal RNA (bases 1-542)
Source: RNAcentral